AUAGGUGAUAACUUCAUUUGCGCAACGAUUGAUUGGUGGCCUCCUGAAUUAUGCAACUUCGGCGUUUGUUCUUGGGGACAUUCAUCUAUUGUCAAUUUGGUGUGUAUUUUUAGAUUUUCACCUGUAUAGAAAAUGAAAUCAAUGCUUUUAAAAUUUUAUGUUUCCUUGGAAAGCAAGCUAACCUGUUUUAAUCAUUGUUCAGGACUUAUCUCAUCCUCUCCUUGCCAAAGCAAUCCAAGGUUUGUAUGUCUAAAUUACUUAAAUGUAUAUGAUUUAGAUAAUUUGUUAGUAUUAUGAUCGAUGUUUUUAAAAAUCGGAUAACAUUGUUGAUGACGUUAUUAUUGUUGAUGGCAUUAUUAAUGUGGCUGCAUGAAGUUUAAAUGUAUUAAGCAUAAUGUUAUUCUUUUCAUAUCAUUUUCGGAUAGCCCUCAAACCUUUGAGGAUAAGACUUGGAGGUUCUCUGCAAGACCAGGUGGUGUAUAACGUAGGAAACUUGAAGUCUCCUGGUCAUCCAUUUCAAAAGGUGAAAGGUGGAUUUUUAGGAUUUUCAGAGGGAUCUUUACACAUGCAAAGGUGGGAUGAGCUGAAUCAUUUUUUCAACAAGACAGGGUGAGAAUCUAUACAUUAUAUUUGUUAUUAUCGUCACCGCCACCUUCACUUUCUCUUCUUUUAAACCAAAUAAAAAGGAUAGUUUCAAUUUAGUGCUUUCUUCCUUAUAAUUGAAGACUUUAGGUGAUUUAUUUAUUUUGUUAUUUGGAGCGAUUCAAUAUAUUGUCUUCUAUCCUGUACUAUUGCAACAGUUUUUGUUAGCUUACAAAGAGUGUCUGAGAUAUCAGGAUGUGAUCGACCCCAUUUUGUGUAAAUAUGUACCAAAACAAAGAACUUGGAUAUAUGUGUCUGGUAGAAUUAUGAUUACGUCUGGUAGAAUUGUAACUUAAUUGAAGUUUGACACAUGCAGGGCCAUUGUGAUGUUUGGGUUGAAUGCGCUCAGUGGGAGGCACAAGAUUAGUAACACUAGUAAUGUUUGGGAAGGAGCCUGGGACCCUACAAAUGCUUAUGAUUUUAUAAAGUACACUGUUUCAAAGGGAUACAAGAUUGAUGCAUGGGAAUUUGGUACGACAAUAGACAAAGUAGUUUGUUAUUUUUGUUAACGCAUUAGUUUGUUUUAGCAUAUGCCCAAUUGGCGGAGUGUUAAUGGACUGAUCUAUAGUUGUCAAAGCCUAAGGGUUCGUGGUCCAAAAGGUCUAAACAAGUGUUGUCAAUCGUGGAUCAUAGAAAAUAGUGAUUAUUUAAAUUCUACGCAACAAUGUUGAAGUCCCGCUGUAACUGUUAUUGACAACAUUUUGUUAGCGUAUGGCGGAGCAACACUGGUCUAAGCCAUUUGAUCUUCAUCCCACUUUAGUCUUCUUUGUUGUUAUCAGAUGUGGACUUAUUGCAUAUGCUUAUGUAGGUAAUGAGUUGAGUGGUACAGGCGUUGGUGCAUCAGUUGUCGUUGCACAGUAUGGGAAAGACGUGAUAAACCUUAAACGAAUUCUAGAUGAGUUAUACAAGAACUCGAGGUUCAAACCCUUACUUGUAGCACCUGAUGGAAGUUAUGAUAAGGAAUGGUACAAUAAGCUUCUUCAGCUUUCUGGUCCAGGCGUAAUCAAUGUUCUGACUCAUCAUUUAUAUAACAUAGGCCGAGGUUUGCUUAUCACUCACAUAAUUCUUUCUAGUAUUGUCUACCAUUCAUAACCUAUUUCUAAGUUAAUUUCUCGUUUUCAGCUAAUGACACGCAUCUUAUAGAGAGAAUUUUAGAUCCUGAUCACUUGAGCGAAGUGGAAACAACCUUCAGAAAUCUUUCAGAAACCAUUCAAAAACAUGGUCCUUGGGCUUCUGCAUGGGUAGGAGAAUCUGGCGGGAUAUCUAGGAGUGGCAGUCGUGAUGUAUCUAACACAUUUGUGAAUAGCUUUUGGUAAUAUUGAUUCCGUCAUUUUUUUCCCUCUUUCUAAGUUUUAGGUGCCAGAAGAAGAAUUCUGAUUUUUUAUUUAGAAUGUGUUGAACCGAAUAUUUGAAUGACUCGUCGUAGGUACUUAGAUCAACUUGGAAUGGCAUCCACCUACAAUACUAAAGUUUAUUGUAGGCAGUCAUUAAUUGGAGGGAACUAUGGUCUUCUCAAUACCUCCACUCUCGCUCCUAAUCCUGACUACUACAGGCAAGUAUAAAUUAAAUAUUACAGAAAAAUAAAAAUCAGAGAUUAAUAGAUAAUUUGAUAUACUUAUAUUCCCUGGAAUGUUACUUAAGGAUUUAUAGUAGUAAUGUAUGUCAUUGUUAAACAUAUCUAAUCCUAGAUUCUGGUUCUGCAAACAGUGCGCUGUUGUGGUAUCGGCUAAUGGGAAAGAAGGUUCUUGGUGUUAGGAGUAAUAUUUCUUCGCCAUUUUUACGCACUUACUCCCAUUGUUCAAAAGACAGUGUAAGUAUGCUAAUUUAUUACAACUUCUUAGGAAGGAUAUUAUAUUAUAGAGAGAUGUGAUGAGUUUAGUUUUUAUAUUUGAUUAAUAUCCCACGAAAAAUUAAAGUUGAUAUGACAUCAUACGAAAAACUUAACACGCGUGUGUAACUGUGGAUUGAUUCUUUGGCGAUUAUUAUAGUUUGAGUACCUUAAUUUGUGUAACUAUCUACGGGCUACUGAUUCUUAAUAGUUUCAUAGUUGAGACACAUAGGUUCUGUCAAAUGUCUCGUUUCCGAGAGACAACAAUAGUCCAUGAAUAACUAGUGGAUCCAUUAUUCAUUGCUGUAUUUUUCCCUAAAACCAUGCUUCAUGCUUCUAUAAAUAGCUACUGGUCGCAACUAUAUAUAGAAGUCGACCGACGAAGAUAAUAGCAACUGUUCAGCUAGUUCUGUGUACUAUAGAGAUUAGAUACAGUUACAGUAAACUUAUAAACCCGAGUAAGUAUACUCUAAUACUCUCCUACAAGCUCAAGGUGGGUCGGAGCCAUGAAAAGAUGAUAGAUCAUACACACUGAGCUUUGAUCUCAGAGCUUCAAAUCUAGUUUGCGCUAUUAACGCGGCUUUCAGCUUUUUAACAUAUUUUAAUUGCUAAACUGAAUAAUGUCAUCUCCAUUCCCAUUAAAUACAUAAAUAUUUCCACACUACCUUCUGAUCGAAUAAAGAUCUUUGCUUUCUAGAUCUUUUAUGUUUUUUGAAACUACAUGCAAUUUCAGUUUAUAAUGAAUGUAUGAUAGUAUUGAAUCCAGGUUGAUUCAGUGUCAUGCUUAAUUUCAUAGUAAUUCUUUUUUACUGCAGAGUAAUUUCCAUCAUCUGUUGGCUAAUUUGCUAUUAAUUUAAGCAAUCCUCAAAUUCUUACCAAUUUGAUUUUACAGGCUGGUGUAACAUUACUGUUGAUCAACUUAAGCAAUCAAACUGAGUUCAUACUCAAUGUGAAAAACCAUGUAACUGUUAAAGCAAAUGAAGUGGCCAAAUUCAGGGAAGAGUAUCACUUAACUCCAAAAGAUAAUAAUCUCAGAAGCCAAACCAUGGUGCUGAAUGGCAUUCCACUUAAGUUAACAAAUAAAGGGGAUAUUCCAGCAAUGGAUCCAGUGCAAAAUAAUGUGAAAUCUCCAAUAUACAUAGAUCCUUUGUCCAUUGCAUUUAUUGUGUACCCAAACUUUGAUGCUCCAGCUUGUGCCAGGCACUCAAAACUAUAAAGCUUGUAAACUAGGCCUUAAAA
RNAcentral lists this long non-coding RNA (3709 nucleotides) under Medicago truncatula (barrel medic). RNAcentral describes it as "long non-coding RNA (MTRU_LNC000259)". The record is from RNAcentral. Lineage: Eukaryota; Viridiplantae; Streptophyta; Magnoliopsida; Fabales; Fabaceae.